This 468-nucleotide ribosomal RNA is filed under the name uncultured bacterium. Its description in RNAcentral is "partial 16S ribosomal RNA". It matches the Rfam family "Bacterial small subunit ribosomal RNA", at positions 28 to 507 of the family's 1533-position model. The record is from RNAcentral.
GACGAACGCUGGCGGCGUGCUUAACACAUGCAAUUCGAACGGAAAGGCCUUGCUUUUGUGGGUGGCUCGAGUGGCGAAAGGGUGAGUAACACGUGAUUAACCUGCCCUUGACUUUGGGUUAACUUCAGGAACCUGGGGCUAAUACCGGAUAGGAGCUCCUGCUGCAUGGUGGGGGUUGGAAAGUUUCGGCGGUUGGGGAUGGACUCGCGGCUUAUCAGCUUGUUGGUGGGGUAGUGGCUUACCAAGGCUUUGACGGGUAGCCGGCCUGAGAGGGUGACCGGCCACAUUGGGACUGAGAUACGGCCCAGACUCCUACGGGAGGCAGCAGUGGGGAAUAUUGCACAAUGGGCGGAAGCCUGAUGCAGCAACGCCGCGUGCGGGAUGACGGCCUUCGGGUUGUAAACCGCUUUCGCCUGUGACGAAGCGUGAGUGACGGUAAUGGGUAAAGAAGCACCGGCUAACUACGUG